UAUCAAUUUCUAGGUUGUUGACUUUACAAAAAGUCAAAUAUAAUAUUAUCAACUGUGUGGCUUAUGGUACAAUUCAUUUGUCAACGGGAAAACAAAGCAUUCAUGGAGUUCCACUACAAGAUAAUUGCUAUAGAGUUUCUAUUGAUAAAGUUGUAAAAGAAGCAGCAUUUUUACCGGUAGAAUCAUGUGAGGUCAAAACAGUUGGGGAUGCACUAAAUACUUUUGUUGCUUGGCCAAAAUACCUUGUCAAAACUAGCCAAAAGAUACCAAAUCUAUCAAGCAUUCAAACACAAAACUCUACAACUCAAGUCGCUAAAAAGCAAAAGAUAUGUUUUACAACGCUAGAUGGCAU
This is a long non-coding RNA of Helianthus annuus (common sunflower), 352 nucleotides long. RefSeq lists it as uncharacterized. The record is from RefSeq and is a predicted model, not a curated record. NCBI's taxonomy places the organism in Eukaryota, Viridiplantae, Streptophyta, Magnoliopsida, Asterales, Asteraceae. The transcript has 2 exons.